UAAUUUUUGUAAAAUUAAAUAUUGUUUUUUUUGGUUUUUAGUCUUUAGGGUAAAAUCAGAAGACUUAAUUAUUUAUUGUUUAAUUUAUAAAGUUUGAAAAACGACCCAGAUUAGUACCUGGUUAGACAAAAUUUAAAAAAGCAGGAGUAAAGUUAUAUUUAAACUGUAAGGAUAUUGGCAGGCUUUUUAAAUUAUCUUUGGAGGUUGAGUAGUAAUUGAGAACCCUCAUUUUCAUCUUCUAUUUUAGGCGCAUGUAUGAUCGUUUAUUUUAUUCUUAGGGAUUGUAAUUAAAAAUUUUUAUUUAUAAAAACAGAUAAAUACCUGGUUUAUAUAGGAGUUUAAAUUUGACCUACAAUAUUAUAAAAUUUGGAUUUUAGGUUGAGAGAUCUAAAUGAAAUUGUAAAAGACAGUAAACUAUUUUUAAUAUAUAGUUGAAGUUUAUUUAAUGGCGGUACAAAUCAU
Molecule: ribosomal RNA, 462 nt
Filed under: Steinernema longicaudum
Lineage: Eukaryota; Metazoa; Nematoda; Chromadorea; Rhabditida; Steinernematidae
Description: partial 12S ribosomal RNA
Source: RNAcentral